GAUGAACGCUGGCGGCGUGCCUAAUACAUGCAAGUCGAGCGAACAGACGAGGAGCUUGCUCCUCUGACGUUAGCGGCGGACGGGUGAGUAACACGUGGAUAACCUACCUAUAAGACUGGGAUAACUUCGGGAAACCGGAGCUAAUACCGGAUAAUAUAUUGAACCGCAUGGUUCAAUAGUGAAAGACGGUUUUGCUGUCACUUAUAGAUGGAUCCGCGUCGCAUUAGCUAGUUGGUAAGGUAACGGCUUACCAAGGCAACGAUGCGUAGCCGACCUGAGAGGGUGAUCGGCCACCCUGGAACUGAGACACGGUCCAGACUCCUACGGGAGGCAGCAGUAGGGAAUCUUCCGCAAUGGGCGAAAGCUUGACGGAGCAACGCCGCGUGAGUGAUGAAGGUCUUCGGAUCGUAAAACUCUGUUAUUAGGGAAGAACAAAUGUGUAAGUAACUAUGCACGUCUUGACGGUACCUAAUCAGAAAGCCACGGCUAACUACGUG
Molecule: ribosomal RNA, 497 nt
Filed under: uncultured bacterium
Lineage: Bacteria
Description: partial 16S ribosomal RNA
Rfam family: Bacterial small subunit ribosomal RNA
Source: RNAcentral